GGCAGGCAGCUUGUUAGAAAGGCAGAUUCUUGAACCCACCCCUGAGGUGCUGAUUCAGAGGAGUCUGCAUUUUUAGCAAGCCCACCCAGCCUCAGAAAUCCAGAGGCAGUGAGGGAACCUCAUUUUGAGACAUAAUGGCCUGAUUGGAAAUAAGGCCCACACGAGGAAACAAAAGUCAGAGCUCUGGGCGCCUGGCUGGAAACUGGUCCAGGGUCCUGUGGGACACACAGAAAGCCAAGGUCAGCUGAACCUGGGAGUCUUCACAGAGCUGGUGAUGCUGGCGUUGAGCAGGAAUUCCCCAGGUGAGCCUGAAGAGCAGUUUGUCCCCAUAAAGGGUCAUUUUUAACAGGCACCAGUGGUGCGGCUGACAGUCCCCACCAGGGAGAUAAUCAGCGUCUGCUUUUUGGUUGGGAAAACAAGCGUAUAAAUAACUUUGAAUUGCCUCCUCUAUUCCAAAUGACUCUCUGCUUGCUGACCCCCAACCUCAAGGCCCAACCCCCCAGCCUCUCGCACCCCAGUCUUCUUCCCCCCAGCACGCCGCUCAUUCCCACCUCAGGGCCUUUGCCCUCACUGCUGCCCCUGCCUGACACCCCCUUCCUCCUGAGGUCACGUGAUCAGCUCCUUCACAGGGGCUCAAAAGUGCAGCCUCCUCCCACCACUGGCCUCAGCCACCCCCAGGCCACGCUGCCCAGCUGCUGUCCUCAACUUCUUCCGCAGCAGUGAAUGGCAGGAGGUUCCUCACAUGUUAGGUUCCAUGUCUGUGACCCCCACUGGCCUCAGAGGACGCUGUGCGCAGGCAGGACGUGGUUGCCGGAGGGGCCUCAUCCUGAACUCGAGGAACAGAGGACAGGCCAGGAAAAGACAGAUGAAGUUCAUAAGCUGAGACCCAGCACUCCAGGCAGGCCCACCCAAUUCCGUGAAACUCUGGAAUCCCAAGAGGAUCCCCACAGAGCCUCCUCUCGAAACGCCAGAGUAACCAAAGUUUCCAACAGAGAAUGCGGCGGUCUUGGUGCGACACCGCCAUCUGCUGGCUGUGUCCGAGAACUGCAGCUCUGGCUUGACCACUUAAGAGUGCCUGCAGUGGACUCCGGGACCCUGCCUUCCACGAGUGUACAAUAAGAGCAGAGACAGACAACAAAUAAGAAAUCAAACGAGUAAGCGAGGUAAUUCCAGAUGGGCACAAGUUUUCAGCAAGAAAUAAACAGCUUUCUGUGACAGA
Non-coding RNA from Odocoileus virginianus texanus, 1219 nucleotides. The record is from RefSeq and is a predicted model, not a curated record. Lineage: Eukaryota; Metazoa; Chordata; Mammalia; Artiodactyla; Cervidae.